This 451-nucleotide ribosomal RNA is filed under the name uncultured Fibrobacter sp. Its description in RNAcentral is "partial 16S ribosomal RNA". It matches the Rfam family "Bacterial small subunit ribosomal RNA", at positions 341 to 792 of the family's 1533-position model. The record is from RNAcentral. Lineage: Bacteria; Pseudomonadati; Fibrobacterota; Fibrobacteria; Fibrobacterales; Fibrobacteraceae.
ACGGAAGGCAGCAGUAGGGAAUAUUGCACAAUGGGGGAAACCCUGACGCAGCAACGCCACGUGUGGGAAGAAGCAUUUCGGUGUGUAAACCACUGUCGUGAGGGAAUACUGCUUGGCCUCGGCCAAGUUGAAUGUACCUCGAAAGGAAGCACCGGCAAACUUCGUGCCAGCAGCCGCGGUAAUACGAGGGGUGCAAGCGUUGUUCGGAAUCACUGGGCGUAAAGGGAGCGCAGGCGGAGAUGCAAGCAGUCUGUACAAUACCGGGGCCCAACCCCGGACCUGCAGACUGGACUGUUUCUCUUGGAUAGUUCAGGGGCAAGCGGAAUUCCUGGUGUAGCGGUGGAAUGCGUAGAGAUCAGGAAGAACACCGAUGGCGAAGGCAGCUUGCUGGGGACUUAUCGACGCUCAUGCUCGAAAGUGCGGGUAGCAAACAGGAUUAGAUACCCUGGUA